RNAcentral lists this ribosomal RNA (496 nucleotides) under uncultured bacterium. RNAcentral's name for it is "partial 16S ribosomal RNA". It matches the Rfam family "Bacterial small subunit ribosomal RNA", at positions 28 to 506 of the family's 1533-position model. The record is from RNAcentral.
GAUGAACGCUGGCGGCGUGCCUAAUACAUGCAAGUCGAGCGAACGGACGAGAAGCUUGCUUCUCUGAUGUUAGCGGCGGACGGGUGAGUAACACGUGGAUAACCUACCUAUAAGACUGGGAUAACUUCGGGAAACCGGAGCUAAUACCGGAUAAUAUUUUGAACCGCAUGGUUCAAAAGUGAAAGACGGUCUUGCUGUCACUUAUAGAUGGAUCCGCGCUGCAUUAGCUAGUUGGUAAGGUAACGGCUUACCAAGGCAACGAUGCAUAGCCGACCUGAGAGGGUGAUCGGCCCCACUGGAACUGAGCCACGGUCCAGACUCCUACGGGAGGCAGCAGUAGGGAAUCUUCCGCAAUGGGCGAAAGCCUGCCGGAGCAACGCCGCGUGAGUGAUGAAGGUCUUCGGAUCGUAAAACUCUGUUAUUAGGGAAGAACAUAUGUGUAAGUAACUGUGCACAUCUUGACGGUACCUAAUCAGAAAGCCACGGCUAACUACGU